GCCCGGGUGGCGGAAUAGGCAGACGCACGGGACUUAAAAUCCCGCGAGGUUAAACCCUCGUGCCGGUUCGACCCCGGCCUCGGGCACCA
Molecule: transfer RNA, 89 nt
Filed under: Candidatus Syntrophocurvum alkaliphilum
Lineage: Bacteria; Bacillati; Bacillota; Clostridia; Eubacteriales; Syntrophomonadaceae
Description: tRNA-Leu
Rfam family: tRNA
About the family: Transfer RNA (tRNA) molecules are approximately 80 nucleotides in length. Their secondary structure includes four short double-helical elements and three loops (D, anti-codon, and T loops).
Source: RNAcentral